UUCCUUGCAUUAGCUUCUCAAUCUAUGAUGAUCAUAAAUAUAUUCUUAAAUGUUUCGUUCCAUCUUCCCCUUAAUACUUCUCUAGAGCUCUAUAUCUAAAUCUAAAUCCACCCAAAAUCAAACUCUACUCUGAAAAGCUACAUUCAUGGCCUAUGAAAUCCUCCGGAAAAUCUAUUAUAUACAGCUCUCAUGUCUUUAUCGAUGGCUUCUCCUUUUCUUCCAUGAUCUGCAUCCCUAAUUAUCGUCUUCGAGAAGAUAAGGCCUGCUAUUCUGAAUCCUUUAUUUUUCUUGUGCUGAAACUCCAGUAUUAUCAGGUUUGGGUUUAAAAAGACAGAAUUUGCAUGCUGGCAGACGGAUGCUGAUUCUAUCGGUGAUUUCAUUAUUAGUUUCAGGAUCUGCUAUUAUCGACCAACUAGGCAUUUUGUGACAAUUUUCAGGAUAACAAAGAUGCAUGUGGUGACAACAAUUUAAAUGGUAGUUUAGUAUGGGGUUCUAUUCAUCAUUCUUGGUUUCAGAUCAUGUUACUGUGUCGAGAAGAACCCAAAGUCCCAUAAGCAAAGCAAUAUAUAAGGGAAGGAGAAGGGAGAGACUGAUCCUCAACUAAUAAUUCCUAGAGGAACAUGUAUUAGUUAGCAUCUUAAGUGCAUGACAAAGGACUUGCAGAUCCAUCCAGAGCGAAUUGUUGCGAAUCAGAUAACAACUAAGAUUCUUAUUUCCAUGUUUGGUUCUCUCUUACACAUGUUGAGGGGAUAGCUAGAUGUGCAAGGAUAGGUGGCUUGGUGUUCACGCCUUCUUAGAAAGAUGGAAGACCAAGAAGGAAGUUGAGAGAUACCGUGACUGAGAGCUUACUAAUGAGACGCGACCAAUUUGGGUAAGGACUACUUGAUGCUCAAAAUGAAUUAAAGAGUAUAUUUGUAUUUGUUGCAGCUCUUGACCUCUAAGGAGGUGACAACAGAAGAGUACAAUGAGUUUUACAUAAAAGCUUUCAAUGAGUACUUGGACCCACAGGCAUUAACCCACUUCACAACAGUACGUUGGAGGGAAAACAUCUGUUGGAAUAGUAUAUACAUGAAACUACCCAUGCAGCGUGAGGGCGAGUUUAGAUCCAUCCUUUAUGUGCCACCAGUGUCACCAAUGGGGAAGCAUGACGUGGUCAAGUAAAAGACAAAGAACAUAAGGCUCUAUGGAAAACUAUUUUUCAAGUUAAUUUGACUGGAAACUGGUGAGAGAAGUAUCCCUUGGUGUGGCCUUUCAAGAUAUAUAUGUUUUUCUAUUUCGUAUUGAUAUCCGCUUUUCUGGUGCUUUGUGAACAGUUUCUGAUAGAAUAGGAUAUUCUGUUAUAUUCUGUUAUUAGAUAAGUCACAAUAUUGUGUAGAUAUUGUAGUUCCGAUAUUCUUGUAACAGUCUUGGGUAUAUAUACCAUAUCAA
Long non-coding RNA from Raphanus sativus (radish), 1428 nucleotides. RefSeq lists it as uncharacterized. The transcript has 5 exons. NCBI's taxonomy places the organism in Eukaryota, Viridiplantae, Streptophyta, Magnoliopsida, Brassicales, Brassicaceae. The record is from RefSeq and is a predicted model, not a curated record.